GCCUCCGUGGUGUAGUGGUCAGCACACUCGGUGUGUAUUCGAAAACUCAGUGGUUCGAAUCCCGGCGAGGGCA
RNAcentral lists this transfer RNA (73 nucleotides) under Stegodyphus mimosarum. It matches the Rfam family "tRNA". Rfam says of the family: Transfer RNA (tRNA) molecules are approximately 80 nucleotides in length. Their secondary structure includes four short double-helical elements and three loops (D, anti-codon, and T loops). The record is from Rfam by way of RNAcentral. Lineage: Eukaryota; Metazoa; Arthropoda; Arachnida; Araneae; Eresidae.